GUGCACACCCACAGAAUGGGACACAGACACACAGAGGACUAAAUGACACACUGGGUUCCUACAAGUGUCAUCAUGUCACAGUCCCUGAGUAGCCUGUUAUACGAUGGUGUUCUUGAACUAUGUGAAUAUUUGGGCGAUUGCAGGGAUGAAGUUAGACAAAUCCAAGCGUUAUAAUUCUGCAUUAUGCCUAUGUUUUGACUUUUCGUCUUUUAUUUGGAGAAUAAGAAAGCCAAAUAGAGAAAAGGAAGCCCAGCCAACCAGCCCAGUUUCACGUGGGCAGAACCAGGAGGAAAUUCAAAGGGGAGGGAAUCCCCCUCGCCAGAGUCGCCUCCGCGUGCACCAGGAAGCCCACCGCAGGCCCACCAUCUGGGCUGGGAGAUUCGUCAGCAGACAUUGGCCUGCGACAGUCACACUUCCUGCUCCUCAGUCUGAGAUGCCCCAACCAGAUAGCGGAGGCCCAAUGGGGAAGGAGCAGCCUCGGCGGAGGCCCGCCUGGUUUUCCAGCCCUGGACUUGUAGCCAGGACAUCAGGACUCCCUCCUGCUCCCCAACUCCUCCUGCUGGUGAAGCAAGCCCCUCCUGCCCAGAGUGGAGCCUUCUCUGCCCUGGAAAGAUGCUUGGAAACUUGGCGAUGCUUCCAGACGUGCAGGCGCCAGGGGCCUGUUCUCUUCUCCUCCCCUUUCUCCUGGACUUGCUGACCUUCCUUCUGUGCCACAAACGGCCAGGUUCAUUCCCCUGUGUGGCCGUGUUCCUGUCCCCAGCCCUGUGCAUGGUUGCACCUCCUCACUUUUCAGGGCUCUGUCAAGUGUCACCUCCUGGGUGAGUGCCUCCCUGACCACCCUGUCUCCAGGAGCCCCCUCCACCCAGGCACUUCCUAGCAUGUCACCCCAUUUCCUCUUCUCAGGACCCCUCACCACCAUCUGAAAUGAACUUGAGUGCGUGAUGAGUUGGGGAACAUCUCUCUCCCUCCUUACCUGUGUAUGAGCUCAAGGAGGAAGGGACUGACCUGACUUAAGAACCCGUGUGCCCAGCGCCUAUGGCAGCACCUGGCACGGAGCUGCUGGCUGCCCACCAUGCUGGAUGACUCAUGGGAGAGCCGGGGAUCCGAGUCUUGCUGUGGCUGUUCACAGGCACCUGACUGUGGGAAGGACCUUUCCUCUAGGGAUCAAGGUUUUUUCCUUGGUAAAAUAGAGCAAAUUCCUAAUACUCAUCACUCAUGACUGCUGGGAGCUCAGACUGAGGUGACAUAUGUCAAAGCGCUUGGCCAACUCAGCUACAGAAAGAGAAGCGGCCAUGUUAAGUUGCUGGCACACACCCGAGUAGAAUUCAGGGAGUGGGCUAAGGGAGAGCACGGUGAUGGGCAGUCCGGUGGAAGUCUGCAAUGUGUGUGCUGAAAAUACUGGUUAAUAUUGACCACCGGGGAGAGGGGAAGAAAAUACUGGCUACCCUCUCCCUACGAACAUUAUUUCAUGCCUACUGCAUGCUGGGCUCUGUUCUGAAAGUUUCAUAGGAAUUCCCUUGUUAAAUUCUCACCACUAUACCUGAGAUUAUUAUCAUCUCCAUUGCACAGAUAAGGAAACUGAGGCACAGGGAGGUUAGGGUACCUCCGAAAUCCAUACUCUAAGCCACUGUGUUGCACUCUGUCUCCAGAAAAAAAAAUGCAUGGAAUAACAGAUUCAAUUCUGUUAAAGUCAAGGGAGAAUGGAAAUGCAUCUUGUUAGCUUAUUAAUCAAAUAAGAACUUCAGUGUCAGAGGGGAUCUUGACAGAUUCUCUAAAUGCGUCUUUUUUGAGCAGCACUUCUUUUCGCCAAGAGGAAGUACGUGACUCUGGUGGACACAGGUGGCAUUACCUCCAGCAUGUGUGACUCAGAGGGUGUUUCAGCAGGGUUUCAAGGACCCAGCUUCUGCAUGGGCCCCAGUAGGAAGCAAAUGUGGAAAUGGCUGGACCAUUUCUACAGAUGUGGAAAUGCUUCGUUUUAAUUUUUCCUUGAGCUUUGCAAGGCCUAGGUGGCCCGAGAAUGAGAUACUUUAUCUAGCCACAUGUCUCUUUGUAGACACGUCUAACUGUUACUCAACGCUCCUGCUCUCUUCUUUGAUAUCAACAGAACCUCAGGCUGCCCAGAAUGAAGUCCACCUUCUCUGGCAUCCCUCAUCCUGGGGUGGCCCCCUGGACUCAGUUCUGGUCAAUAGGAUGGAAAGAGAAGGGAUGGGUCUGACGUCCAGGCGCAUCCUGCAACACGAGUGUCUCCUUCCUUCCCCCACCCACUGGCUGGAAUGCAGACCGGGUGGCAAGCCAUACUGGGCCACCUGGAGGAGAGCGACACCCCAGGAAGGGCGACCACAAGGCAGGCAAAGGCUGGGCCCCAGCCCCUUGUAGCUGCCUGUUUUCAGGGUUCAUGAGCCAUGCAUCAGGC
This 2413-nucleotide long non-coding RNA is filed under the name Homo sapiens (human). RNAcentral describes it as "non-protein coding lnc-PREX1-4:1". The record is from RNAcentral. Lineage: Eukaryota; Metazoa; Chordata; Mammalia; Primates; Hominidae.